RNAcentral lists this ribosomal RNA (253 nucleotides) under uncultured bacterium. Its description in RNAcentral is "partial 16S ribosomal RNA". It matches the Rfam family "Bacterial small subunit ribosomal RNA", at positions 524 to 776 of the family's 1533-position model. The record is from RNAcentral.
UACAGAGGUCCCAAGCGUUGUUCGGAUUCACUGGGCGUAAAGGGUGCGUAGGCGGUCGGGUAAGUCUGACGUGAAAUCUUCAAGCUUAACUUGGAAACUGCGUCGGAUACUAUUCGGCUAGAGGAAUGGAGGGGAGACUGGAAUACUUGGUGUAGCAGUGAAAUGCGUAGAUAUCUGGAGGAACACCGGUGGCGAAGGCGGCAUCCUGGACCGACACUGACGCUGAGGCGCGAAAGCUAGGGGAGCAAACGGG